This 201-nucleotide long non-coding RNA is filed under the name Phoenix dactylifera (date palm). RNAcentral's name for it is "long non-coding RNA (PDAC_LNC004895)". Lineage: Eukaryota; Viridiplantae; Streptophyta; Magnoliopsida; Arecales; Arecaceae. The record is from RNAcentral.
UUGUUGCAGCCCAAAUUUCAAAUUGGGCUGCAUUAUUGAUUGGUAAUACUAUGCAAGUAGGGGGACUAGCGGAUGCGGGUGCAAACAAUUCAUUUAGGGUUCUAAUAUGUUCACCCAUUGUAGAGAUCGACGAUUGGUUUACAGUUCGCAAGUUGUGAUGAAAAGUUCUGUCAAUCUCAGGAUCAAAUGGGGUUAACUUAU